UACGGAGGGUGCAAGCGUUAUCCGGAUUUACUGGGCUUAAAGGGCGCGUAGGCGGAUUUGUAAGUCAGUGGUGAAAUCUCCGAGCUUAACUCGGAAACUGCCAUUGAUACUAUAAGUCUUGAAUUAUCUGGAGGUGAGCGGAAUAUGUCAUGUAGCGGUGAAAUGCUUAGAUAUGACAUAGAACACCAAUUGCGAAGGCAGCUCACUACGGAUAUAUUGACACUGAGGCACGAAAGCGUGGGGAUCAAACAGG
This 253-nucleotide ribosomal RNA is filed under the name uncultured bacterium. RNAcentral's name for it is "partial 16S ribosomal RNA". It matches the Rfam family "Bacterial small subunit ribosomal RNA", at positions 524 to 776 of the family's 1533-position model. The record is from RNAcentral.